CACACUCACACACACACACACACACACGCCAAAUUGUCAUGAUGUUUUGGCCUCAUCUCAUUCCUCGUCAUCUCACACACGCUGUGUUGCAUGUGGACGGCGGAACCAUAAUGUUCCUCUGCCGCUCUGCACCUACCUCCUCUUAGAACCUCUAGAGAACCGCAGCUGUGUGCUUAGAACCGCUGACCCCUGACCCCACGUGACCCCUGACCCCAUGUGUCCGUUAAUACACGAGUCUGAACGCAGGUUAACUCACGAAGAACACAACAGAACUAUACAUUAUCAGGCUUAUUAUACUAUACAUUAUCAGGCUUAUUAUACAGUUACACGACAGAACUAUACAUUAUCAGGCUUAUUAUACAGUUACUUGACAAAACUAUACAUUAUCAGGCUUAUUAUACAGUUAGAUGACAGAACUAUACAUUAUCAGGCUUAUUAUACAGUUACUUGACAGAACUAUACAUUAUCAGGCUUAUUAUACAGUUACUGACAAAACUAUACAUUAUCAGGCUUAUUAUACAGUUACUUGACAAAACGAUAAAAGGCAUUUCUUCAAAAUAUCAGUUUGUAAAUGAUUUUGUUGCUGUUGCCUUCCACUGAGAAAAAAAUAGUUCUUCACGCAAAUAGAUUACUUGCUGAUCUGCUAUGAUAAGUGAACGGACUUCUUGCGGAAUGAUGUGAAAGAUGUGAAUUAGAAGCACAAAACCUGUUGUCAUGGCAGCAGUCAUUAUUCGUUUUCAUUACCUCAAAUGUUGGGAUGGCCCAUUCAAUUCUGCAGCAGUCAGAAGAGCCGGAUAAUAAGUGUGUGUUCAGUCAGAAGAACCGUAUAAUAAGUGUGUGUUCAGUCUGAUCAACUCUGUGUUUGUUAAUACACCACCAUCCUCUUCAUCAGUGUUCUUCAGCCAAACUCAGACAAGGUGUGUGUGUGUGUGUGUGGAGGGGGGGGGGGGCUCCUUAUCCAAACUCAGAAUCACACACACACACACACACUGAUACACAUUCACACACACACACACACACACACACACACACACGUAUACACACACACACACACACACACAC
This is a long non-coding RNA of Clupea harengus (Atlantic herring), 1062 nucleotides long. NCBI's taxonomy places the organism in Eukaryota, Metazoa, Chordata, Actinopteri, Clupeiformes, Clupeidae. The record is from Ensembl.